RNAcentral lists this ribosomal RNA (253 nucleotides) under uncultured bacterium. RNAcentral's name for it is "partial 16S ribosomal RNA". It matches the Rfam family "Bacterial small subunit ribosomal RNA", at positions 524 to 776 of the family's 1533-position model. The record is from RNAcentral.
UACGAAGGGGGCGAGCGUUGUUCGGAUUUACUGGGCGUAAAGGGCGCGUAGGCGGCGGGUCAAGUCGAGUGUGAAAGCCCCGGGCUUAACCUGGGAACUGCAUUCGAGACUGCAUUGCUAGAGUAUGGGAGAGGGAAGUGGAAUUUCCGGUGUAGCGGUGAAAUGCGUAGAUAUCGGAAGGAACAUCAGUGGCGAAAGCGACUUCCUGGACCAAUACUGACGCUCAUGUGCGAAAGCGUGGGGAGCAAACAGG